This 2656-nucleotide long non-coding RNA is filed under the name Homo sapiens (human). Its description in RNAcentral is "non-protein coding lnc-TAS1R2-2:2". Lineage: Eukaryota; Metazoa; Chordata; Mammalia; Primates; Hominidae. The record is from RNAcentral.
AUACCUGGAAGUCAGAUUCCAGGCUCCUCUGUGGACGGCUUUGUCUUCGUUCCCUGGCACUUCCAACCCACCCUCUCUACCCAGGAACUAAGGCUGAGUGGUCUCCAGUGCCCUGAGAAAGCCCUGUGGAAGCACCAAGGAUGCUGGCACUGCCAGGAAGAGCGAGGGCUGAAGAGGAAACGGCUCAGACAGCUGUGGAGCUGGGACUCUCUCUCGUUGAGAUGCAUUAAUUUGACACUGACAAGAUGCAGGCAGGAAGCCCAGAAGAAGGACAGCCCCCAUCCUGAGAAUAAGAAUGCGGAAGUGGGAGAAGGCAGGGAGGUGGCGAUGAAGCCAGCGCUGGAAGCCCAAGGCUGCCGGGCUGUCCCGCUGUUCAUGGCUGAUGGAAAGCGAACCCAAGCGUCCGUGCCCUCAGCUGCCGCCCGCCUGCUUCCCCACAUCUGCGCUGCCUCCAGCUAAUGAAAGUGUUACUCCACGAAGCAGCAAGGUAUGUGUUGUCACUGUUUCAAUUAUUUAUCUGUUUACUCGGCUGCAGUUUUUCCGCUUGUCUCAGCAACUCUAUUAUAGACUGGGAGCUUGCAGCCUCUCGCAGCUCAGCUGGGCUCUGCGCUAACAGCCUGCAAUGGGGAGGCCUCAUGCCUGGGCCUAGAGAAGUGGAAUUAGCUCCCUGCGGCUCUGUGUGGUGGAGGCAGCGGGGAAAGGGGCAGGGAGGGGGCUGGCUAGGGACGGGUGACUCCAAGGGGCUGGGGUAGGGGGGAUGCUGAAAGCAGCUUCCCCAGGCAAAAAGGUGAGGAUUGGAGUGUGAAUCUGUCCCCCUGUCACCUGCCUGGGAGUACUGGCCCUAGACACAGCUGGGCUCCUCUGGACACAUAUGUACCCAAGCUGACUUGGACCACAUCUCUCUGACCUAGGUGGUGUUGCUACUGGUUUAGGAGAGACUCCGUGCAUCUGGCCAGCACUGGUUGAGCAACCAGCUGUGUGCAGACACAGGCUACGUCUGUGCCAGUCACUUUCCAUAGCCUGCAAGCUUUGUAAAGAGUAAGGUGGCCUCUGUGAGGACGGGGGAUGGUUAGAAUCAUGAGAAGGCCUUCGCAGGCUCUGGGACCCUGAGAGGAAGCGGCAGUGAGACUUCCCAGGGCACGGCUUCUCCUUACCCCUCCGUAAGCCCACACCCCUCCUAUCUCUGUCGGGACUUAGCGACAUGUACACGCGUCACUUUCUUCCCCUCUGAGGGCUUGGCGCUUUCUGACCAUGUGCAGAGGGGAGACAGAGGACCACUUCCUCCCACCUGGCUGCUUCUGCAGCACAGGCCCAGCUUCUGAAACGGGACCAUGAGAGUGGAGGAAGAUGAGGAGGACGGGGACAGGAGGAUUCUCCUCUCCUCUUGGGAUCCCUGCUGGCACUCACCCCAAGAAAGAUGCUCACCCCAACCAACCACACCUUGACUCUGCGUCCACUGUCAUCACCCAGAAGAAUGUCCCUGAGUUGACUGUGUCCAGCUUGGCAUGGGGUGGAGAAGAGAGUUGGCUGUACUUGGGAUCAGAGCUUCCAUCUCCCCACAUCCCAAUGUCCCAGCCUGGGGUAGAGGCCAAGACCCUCCAGGGGCUCCCCAUUCUCCAUGCACCCUCUUCCCAUCCCCGCCUCACCCAUUUGACUUUUUUACAGCCACCAAAGUACCUUUAAAGCAGGGCCUUUUCACUUGGGGGGUGAUUUUGCUCACCCUAACCACCAGGGGACAUACAGCAAGCUCAGGAGACAUUUUUGGUUGUCACAACUGGGGAGGAGAGGUGCGGUUUGGUAGGUACCAGUGUCUAGCUGAUAGAGGCUAGGAAGCUGCUGACCAUUCCACUAUGUCCAGGACAGCCCCUUGCCCCCCUCCCAAGAAUUAUCUGGCCCCCAAAUGUCAACAGUGCCCAGGUGGAGAAACCCAGUUUUAAGCCCAUCACAUUGUGUGGCUGUACCAGGUCCCUGGGAACAGAGCCGAAUAGACAAGAAUGUUCCCAUUUUGCAGGUAAAGAAACUGAGGCUUGGAGAGGCAAAAUGAUUCGGCUGAGGCCCCACACUAGGUUCCUGACAAGCGUCUGGCUUCUGGACCAGAGUUCACAUCCCAUCCCAUCAGGCUGGAAGAGACUGCGGGUGAACUGAAUGCCUCUCAACGUCCCUUUCCACCCCUGGUGGCCAGGCUCAUUAGGAGAAAGGAUGUCAGAAUCUCAGUGGAGGUGUGAGGAUUUUUCUCCCAAAGUCAUAAAGCGGAAGGCAUCCUGCCUGUUUAACUGGCAGCCCGUCUUCUGGCCUCACCUCCCUUCAGGUACUGCUUUUUUAUCUCCUCCUAAAAUGCGGCAGCCCUUAUCGUCCCAAUCUCAAAUUUCACUCCAUUUUUUUUAUUACACAAAAGAGAAAAAAAUCUGUCAGUAAAACUGUCUCCUCAAAUUUAUUCGCCGAGACUGAGGGUUUUAUUACGAGGAAAAUACACCCACACCCCACACAUCCACACACAUACCCACACACCCCAGAUAAAGCACUGAAGAAUUAUCCGAGUCGUAAAUCUCUGUUUCAGGCUGAGGGACAGGGGAGUUUCAAGGACGAGACUAGUUUUCCUUUGGUUUUAUUUACAUCUGUUUCUCUGGGGCUGUGUCAGGGCCUCACUGUCAGCCAG